This 454-nucleotide ribosomal RNA is filed under the name uncultured bacterium. RNAcentral describes it as "bacterial SSU rRNA". It matches the Rfam family "Bacterial small subunit ribosomal RNA", at positions 340 to 786 of the family's 1533-position model. The record is from RNAcentral.
UACGGAAGGCAGCAGUGGGGAAUAUUGCACAAUGGGCGCAAGCCUGAUGCAGCCAUGCCGCGUGUAUGAAGAAGGCCUUCGGGUUGUAAAGUACUUUCAGUCGUGAGGAAGGUGUUAAGGUUAAUAACCUUAGCAAUUGACGUUAGCGACAGAAGAAGCACCGGCUAACUCCUUGCCAGCAGCCGCGGUAAUACGGAGGGUGCGAGCGUUAAUCGGAAUUACUGGGCGUAAAGGGCACGCAGGCGGUUAAUUAAGUUGGAUGUGAAAUCCCCGGGCUUAACCUGGGAAUGGCAUUCAAGACUGGUUAGCUAGAGUCUUGUAGAGGGGGUAGAAUUCCAUGUGUAGCGGUGAAAUGCGUAGAGAUGUGGAGGAAUACCGGUGGCGAAGGCGGCCCCUGGACAAAGACUGACGCUCAUGUGCGAAAGCGUGGGGAGCGAAACAGGGAUUAGAUACC